CUCGCCUGCCCCACUACCCCCGAGAUUCGCGCGCUUGCCUCCCUGCGGCCGGGAUCGCCCCACCCAGGCCCUCGAUCUGUCCACUGGGGGCGCGCGCAGUGCGUGGCAGGCGGUAGCGGCGCUGGCGGCUGAGAACGCGGGUCGUGCGGCGGAGCGUGGUUGCUAGGGGCGCCUGAGUCCGCCUGCCUGUCCCGCAGGCCAAAGGAGGAAGUCGCGCGGAGCCGGCGCGGAGUCGGGCGAAGCGGAUCCACUAGUGCCUAUAGAAAAAGACGCUCCUAAACUGUAGAGAUUCAAACGAUUCUGAGGUCCUGUGGAAUCUAACUCUUCAUUUAUCCAACCCUUCAUUUAAUCAUUCAACAAUUUAAAAGAAAAAUCAGUAACUAUUUAAUGAGCCAGGGCACCAUGGAAAGCGCUGGGAGGAUACGGUGGUCUACGAGACAGGUGUGUUCACGGAGUUUGUAGUCUGGGGAGGUUUUAAUCACUUAAACAAGCAUUUGCCAUACUG
Molecule: long non-coding RNA, 505 nt
Organism: Myotis daubentonii (Daubenton's bat)
Lineage: Eukaryota; Metazoa; Chordata; Mammalia; Chiroptera; Vespertilionidae
Source: RefSeq, a predicted model, not a curated record